Long non-coding RNA from Chelonia mydas (Green sea turtle), 957 nucleotides. RefSeq lists it as uncharacterized. The record is from RefSeq and is a predicted model, not a curated record. The transcript has 5 exons. Lineage: Eukaryota; Metazoa; Chordata; Testudines; Cheloniidae.
GGAGGUGGGAGGCUGUACUGGUUAGAAGUCAAUGCAGGGAGUGCUGAGGAAACAGUGGUGCUACUUUAUAUGGAUCUACAUCUAACCAGGAUUUUAGCUUUGCUCUCAAGAAGACCCAAGCUGUUCUUUCCUCAGAAAGCUUACACUGUCACCCAAAUUAUUACCAGGGAUAAUUAAACUAAAUGAUGGAUUACACUUUAAUGGCAACCAUAUAUCUGUCAUGAAGAGCUCCCUUCAGACAUCUUAGGAAGGCAGUGCUGUCUUGAGGAUAGAACACUGGACAGAGACUCCAAUCUAGACUAAUUUAUCAUCUCUCCUACUGGGUGACCUAGAACAAGCCAUGGUGCCUCAGUUUCCCCAUCUUUAAAAUAGAGCAGCCAUGGUGAUUCUAUUCCCCUCCAUGUAAAGCCAGGAGGGCAGGUCUACUCCAAAAUAGCACUUUCAAUUUACACAAGCUGCUCUUGAAGUGAGGAAAGGAUCCAUGUUGAAGCCUCCAGACAAUGGGCUAUUGACUGCACUACACAACAACCCAAGGAGUAAAGGUCCCAAUGGUUGCUAAAUCUGGGUCUCCUACUGAUGAUGUUUCCAGUAACAUUCCUGCCAUUCAACAUGUUCACUAGAAUAUUUGCGGAAAGUGAAAGCACAGGAGCAUGAAAACCGCCAUCAUGGACACAUUUUAUUCAUGCACAUAUUAAUUUUGUGAAGAAUUCAUGCAGCUCUACCUUACAUCUUUCAAGGUACUAAUACAAAUAUGGAAUAGGCACAUUUUUCUAAACUCAGUGAGAAUUCUACAAACCCUAUAUAACCUCUCAUAGAUCAAGGCCAGAUCCUCAACUAGUAUAAAUCACUGUAGCUCAGUUGACUUCAAGCAAGCAACCCUGAUUUGCAGUAGCUGAAGAUAUAGCCCAGGGUCCACUAUCUGUUUUUAUCGGCUUCCUUCCAUUAGGGCAAAGUGUA